AAUGAACGCUGGCGGCGUGCUUAACACAUGCAAGUCGAACGAGAAAUCCUCUGCUUGCAGAGGAGAGUAAAGUGGCGUACGGGUGAGUAACGCGUGGGUAAUCUACCCUUGGAUUUGGGAUAACACUUCGAAAGGGGUGCUAAUACUGGAUAACAUCCUGACGGUUUAGACAGUUGGGAUCAAAGAUAGCCACUACAUGUAAGCUAUUGUCUGAGGAUGAGCCCGCGUACCAUUAGCUAGUUGGUAGGGUAAGAGCCUACCAAGGCGACGAUGGUUAGCUGGUCUGAGAGGAUGAUCAGCCACACUGGAACUGGAACACGGUCCAGACUCCUACGGGUGGCAG
RNAcentral lists this ribosomal RNA (343 nucleotides) under uncultured Pseudomonadota bacterium. RNAcentral's name for it is "bacterial SSU rRNA". It matches the Rfam family "Bacterial small subunit ribosomal RNA", at positions 29 to 351 of the family's 1533-position model. Lineage: Bacteria; Pseudomonadati; Pseudomonadota. The record is from RNAcentral.